GUGGCAGACGGGUGAGUAACAUGUGGGUAUCUUCCCUUUGGUGAGGAAUAACACGAGGAAACUUGUGCUAAUACCUCAUAAGUCUUUACGGAGAAAGCUUUAUGCGCCGAUGGAUGAGCCCGCACUUGAUUAGUUUGUUGGUGGGGUAAUGGCCUACCAAGACUUUGAUCAAUAGCUGAUCUGAGAGGAUGAUCAGCCACAUUGGGACUGAGACACGGCCCAAACUCCUACGGGAGGCAGCAGUAGGGAAUAUUGCACAAUGGAGGAAACUCUGAUGCAGCGAUGCCGCGUGAGUGAAGAAGGCCCUUGGGUUGUAAAGCUCUUUCGUCGGGGAAGAAAAUGACUGUACCCGAAUAAGAAGGUCCGGCUAACUUCGUGCCAGCAGCCGCGGUAAUACGAAGGGACCUAGCGUAGUUCGGAAUUACUGGGCUUAAAGAGUUCGUAGGUGGUUAAAAAAGUUGGUUGUGAAAUCCCGGAGCUUAACUCCGGAACUGCAAUCAAAACUUUUUAGCUAGAGUAUGAUAGAGGAAAGCAGAAUUUCUAGUGUAGAGGUGAAAUUCGUAGAUAUUAGAAAGAAUACCAAUUGCGAAGGCAGCUUUCUGGAUCAUUACUGACACUGAGGAACGAAAGCAUGGGUAGCGAAGAGGAUUAGAUACCCUCGUAGUCCAUGCCGUAAACGAUGUGUGUUAGACGUUGGAAAUUAAUUUUUAGUGUCGCAGCGAAAGCAAUAAACACACCGCCUGGGGAGUACGACCGCAAGGUUAAAACUCAAAUGAAUUGACGGGGACCCGCACAAGUAGUGGAGCAUGUGGUUUAAUUCGAAGAUACGCGCAGAACCUUA
Molecule: ribosomal RNA, 841 nt
Filed under: marine metagenome
Description: bacterial SSU rRNA
Rfam family: Bacterial small subunit ribosomal RNA
Source: RNAcentral